This 187-nucleotide ribosomal RNA is filed under the name uncultured bacterium. Its description in RNAcentral is "partial 16S ribosomal RNA". It matches the Rfam family "Bacterial small subunit ribosomal RNA", at positions 1314 to 1500 of the family's 1533-position model. The record is from RNAcentral.
GCCUGCAUGAAGUCGGAAUUGCUAGUAAUCGCAGAUCAGCAUGCUGCGGUGAAUACGUUCCCGGGCCUUGUACACACCGCCCGUCACACCAUGGGAGUCGGUAACACCCGAAGUCGGUAGCCUAACCGUAAGGAGGGCGCCGCCGAAGGUGGGAUUGAUGACUGGGGUGAAGUCGUAACAAGGUACC